AGUCGUACAAGGUUUCCGUAGGUGAACCUGCGGAAGGACAUUAU
RNAcentral lists this ribosomal RNA (44 nucleotides) under Leccinum caespitosum. RNAcentral describes it as "Chamonixia caespitosa partial 18S small subunit ribosomal RNA". The record is from RNAcentral. Lineage: Eukaryota; Fungi; Basidiomycota; Agaricomycetes; Boletales; Boletaceae.